Molecule: small nuclear RNA, 104 nt
Organism: Apodemus sylvaticus (European woodmouse)
Lineage: Eukaryota; Metazoa; Chordata; Mammalia; Rodentia; Muridae
Source: RefSeq, a predicted model, not a curated record
UGUUCUCUUCAGCAGCACAUCACUAAAAUAGGGGUGAUACAGAGAAGAUUAGCGUGGCCCCCACACAGGAUAGCACAUAGAUUUGGGAAGCGUUCUAUUUUUUC